Long non-coding RNA from Pongo pygmaeus (Bornean orangutan), 1136 nucleotides. RefSeq lists it as uncharacterized. The record is from RefSeq and is a predicted model, not a curated record. The transcript has 3 exons. NCBI's taxonomy places the organism in Eukaryota, Metazoa, Chordata, Mammalia, Primates, Hominidae.
GCGCACGCGCGCUACGUCCCGCAGACUGGCUGCCCCCGAGGGUUCGCGUGAGCCGAGCACGGGGCUCGGGGUGCGGGGGGCUGCGUGAUGGACGCAUUUGUUCUUUGGUCCCUGACGAUUGUUUCUCAUUUGCCCUCCAAGUCCCAAAUCCUGUCAGUCCACGGCCUUGGUGGGGCGGCCCCCGUGGGAAGACCCUGUUGAUUGUACUAGCGGAUGUUGUCUCCAUUCUGGAUCUGGGAAAAACUGUGGAGUGAAAGCCGGACCUGUUAGGGUUGGGACCUGAAAGCGGACUUUUUCUCUCUCAGACGGACCCCAGGAAUUUCAUGUUUAACAGAGGUGUCUUCAAGGAGAUGAAACAAUUCAGAAUGACCUAGACAACGGGGUAAUUCCUAAGACCCAGGCCUUAAAACAUUAGCUGUUUCAACUUGCCAUCACUUGCGACACUCACUCUUAGAACCCACCACCGUGCCCUGAGGAAGCCCAAACAACCCAUGGAGACAUCCGCAUGGAGAGACCUGUGCCCUCGGUCCUGGUUGAACUCUCAGCUGACAGUCAAUGUCAACUUGCCAGCCAUAUGAGUGAACCAUACUGAAGUUCAUCAUCCAUCCCUGAGUAAAUCUACAUGAGCUGACACCAUGUGGAGAAGAAACAAGCAUUCUUACUGAGCCGUUCCCAAAUUGCCGAUUCAUAAACUAAAAAAAAAGAUUGCUGUUCAUUUAAGCCACUAAAUUUUAGGAAUGUUUAGUAAGCAGCGAUCUAUAACUAGAACAAUGGUCAAUAAAUGAAAAUUUUACUUUAAGAAGGCAUACUAUAGCCACAUAACUUUGGGAAACUCUUGGUUAAAGUUUUAAAAAUUUCCCUUACUGCAGAGCUUUUAAUGGGCUAAUGUGUUUCAUGUUCCCGCACAAGAGUAUCCAGUGUUUCUCAAACAUUUUUAACCACAGAAUCUGUAUUGUAAAGUGCCAUCUUGCAAGAUUUGGGUUCAACGGCCAGACUUUAAGAAAACCAAAUGAACUUUUCAGUAAUUCAAUAAUUGAAAUUCUAAUUCUUAAAAUUGCAGAGUUUACAUUAGGAUAGUUUUAAUUUGAAAAGUCGUAUGUUAUAGAGUUAAUUCUGGUAAUAAAGUAAAAUACCCU